CCCACAUGGUGGCCUGGGCGGCACGCCUGUGGGAUGGGGAAACCGAGGCACAGACAGUCACGUGCUCUUCCAGUUGCAGGUUAGACCCCACUUGCGGUUGUGUGUUCCAGAAGUCUCCGGGCGCUGUGUGGCAGGAUGAGGAGCUGCCCCCCUGGAGGAUCACGCAGGCCUCUGGGUGGCAUUCAGCAGGGUUGGCUGCGGCACCGGCUGACCACAGGGCCCACCUUUCCAGUCCCGGCAGGAGAGAAGCGUCUCAACCAUGUUGCAGGCACACGGGUGAGGGUGCUGCCUGCCUCCCUGACUCUUACCUCCCCAAGAGAGGAAAACAAAAGAAAAAAAGAUAAGACCAGGAAAUGGAAAUAAGACAAAGAAGAAUGAAAUUUUAAAAUCCGAACAAACCCAAACAUGCUGUUUCAAAACGUAAGUCCAUGAAGAGUCUCGUGGUGAGAAAGACAGAAUUCCUAGCCAGGAAAAUGCCCCGUGCUUGCCCCUUGGAGGCAGGUGCUCACCACGGCAGGGUCUAUCUAGGUGUUUAUUAAGGUGUCUCACCACGUAUCGCCCGGAUUCACCAGAGAUGCAGAGGCGGAGGAUACGUUCCUGUUUACAUUGAUACAUAGUUACAUAGGUGAAGAGCUUUACAGUGAGGAAGCGGCUCACGCGGCCAUGAGGGACCCAGGCAGGAGCUGCUGUUGCUGCCCCAGGUGCGAUUCCUUCCUCCUCAGGGAGGCUCAGCUCCCCGCUGCAGCCAGGUGGGCCCAGGCAGGCCUCCUUGGCCUACAGCGCAGACGGCCAAGUGCUGGUCACGGCCAUUGCAUCUACACCACCCCUUUCUCAGCAGCAACUCCACGAGUGCUCGAUGGGAAACUGCAGACAGCAGCCUUGCCAAGCGGAUGCCCAGGGCCGACCACCGCAGCCCCUCCAGCCACGUUCUCCAUCAGGGCAGCCUCCUGCUGGCUUCGGCACUGCAGGUAGCACACCAGCGAGGGGUGGGCCUGUGUGCCACGAAGCGUCAUCCAUGGACGUGCCACGAAGGGUUAUUCUUCUUUUGACUUUUUCUGAUGGUUUAAAACUGUAAGAACACACAGCUCACAGUCCACACGGAAGCAGGCAUGUGGCUCCUGCCUCACUGUGGGAGGAAAGAUGUUCUCAAAAGAAAUGGCUGGGUUUGCGGAGGGGUUUGUGGAGGGCCGGGCAGUCUGAACACAGCCCAGCUGGCCUUGGUGGAGGUGGGCCUGGCACAGGGGGGUGGGAGCAGUUCUUCCUGACGCAAAUCCUAACGCCUUCAACACUGACCUUCCAAAGAAACAGCUGCUGGACGCCGCCCGACAGCAACGAGAGCCCCACUCCUGAGGCGCGCGACUCUCGAGGGCUUUGUUGUUUAUUUGGCACCCGAGGCCCAGGCUCACAGGGUCUCGGGUGCAUGGGACCCCCCAGCCCUUCCCACUGCUCUGCGAUUCUUCCUCCCUUCUGGAAAGGUCAGUUUGGGGUUCUAUUCUGGGAGGGGCCAGGCCGCCACCUGGCCUCAUUAACUGGGCAGGCCACUGGGACCUCCUCCGAAAUGCUGGGGCCAUGGCCGAAGACUUGCCUCCCGCCAGGAGCCUUCAGCCCUCUUAGUAGUGGAUGUGGGCUUCCUCCCUCUGAGGGGACGUCCUGAUGGACACGAGAUGUGGGGCGCCCGUGGGUGGCCGCCUGCUCCUGCCACAGUCCCCCUUGGGGCCUGAGCUGCGGCUGCUGCCUCCGUAGGGAAGGAACAAUGGGGGAUGGGCCCGCCCCUACCCAGAGAGAGUGGGCCGUGUUGCCUGCAAGGCCUCAGCCAGGGGACCACGUUUCUCUGCAUCUUGUGGCUUUGGGUUCUGCAGGCUGUUUGUGGGAGAACGGGAAACAGUCCCAGAGAUGACGCUGCCUCAUGCAGGUUAACAGAGUUGGAGGUCAGGCCGACGCCUGAGGCUCAGGACGCUGAUGGGUGCCUUCCCUCGCCAGGGCCAUUUGGUGGAGACUCUGAGAGCCUGAACUUAGAAGCCCGCCGAGAGGGGAAAUGGCGGCCUCCGGGGAGCGGGCAGCCUGGCCGCAGAGCGCGCGGGACCCAGGGCCACCGUCCUCCCGAGACAGCGGCAGCAGCCGCCACUCACCGUGCGGAAUUAAAAACGGCUCUCUGGUUGCCACGGCAACCAGCCGUCUCCCCCCAGCGUCAGUUUGAAUUUGUGCAGACCAUUCCUAGCCAAGAUUCAAGCCAACAGAUUCGUGCUUACCCUGAGGUGAAGCCUCGUUUGAGAACCAAAUAAUAAAA
Long non-coding RNA from Homo sapiens (human), 2287 nucleotides. Ensembl annotates it as ADGRA1 antisense RNA 1. Its record names the gene ADGRA1-AS1. The record is from Ensembl. Lineage: Eukaryota; Metazoa; Chordata; Mammalia; Primates; Hominidae.